GAUGAACGCUGGCGGCGUGCCUAAUACAUGCAAGUCGAGCGAACGGACGAGAAGCUUGCUUCUCUGAUGUUAGCGGCGGACGGGUGAGUAACACGUGGAUAACCUACCUAUAAGACUGGGAUAACUUCGGGAAACCGUAGCUAAUACCGGAUAAUAUUUUGAACCGCAUGGUUCAAAAGUGAAAGACGGUCUUGCUGUCACUUAUAGAUGGAUCCGCGCUGCAUUAGCUAGUUGGUAAGGUAACGGCUUACCAAGGCAACGAUGCAUAGCCGACCUGAGAGGGUGAUCGGCCACACUGGAACUGAGACACGGUCAAGACUACUACGGGAGGCAGCAGUAGGGAAUCUUACGCAAUGGGCGAAAGCCUGACGGAGCAACGCCGCGUGAGUGAUGAAGGUCUUCGGAUCGUAAAACUCUGUUAUUAGGGAAGAACAUAUGUGUAAGUAACUGUGCACAUCUUGACGGUACCUAAUCAGAAAGCCACGGCUAACUACGUG
This 497-nucleotide ribosomal RNA is filed under the name uncultured bacterium. RNAcentral's name for it is "partial 16S ribosomal RNA". It matches the Rfam family "Bacterial small subunit ribosomal RNA", at positions 28 to 507 of the family's 1533-position model. The record is from RNAcentral.